RNAcentral lists this ribosomal RNA (331 nucleotides) under uncultured bacterium. RNAcentral describes it as "bacterial SSU rRNA". It matches the Rfam family "Bacterial small subunit ribosomal RNA", at positions 568 to 898 of the family's 1533-position model. The record is from RNAcentral.
UGUGUAGGCGGUUGCUUAAGUUUGGUGUGAAAUCUCCCGGCUCAACUGGGAGGGUGCGCCGAAUACUGAGUGACUAGAGUGCGGGAGAGGAGAGUGGAAUUCCUGGUGUAGCGGUGAAAUGCGUAGAUAUCAGGAGGAACACCGGUGGUGUAGACGGCUCUCUGGACCGUAACUGACGCUGAGACACGAAAGCGUGGGUAGCAAACAGGAUUAGAUACCCUGGUAGUCCACGCCCUAAACGAUGCAUAUUUGGUGUGGGCAGUUCAGUCUGUCCGUGCCGGAGCUAGCGCGUUAAAUAUGCCGCCGUGGGGAGUACAGUCGCAAGGCUGAA